GACGAGAAUGGCCUAAUGUAAGAACUUUGGUUCUUGCGUUGGUAUCUGUUCAGAAGGAUGUCAAGUCUCCAUCUUACAAUCUGAUGGAUAAACCCCAUGAUGGUGCAUUUACCUUUUGGUCGAUCCAUCUUUCACCUCUGCACCAGAAAGGACCUUACUGCAAUAUGUGGAAUUCUAGAGUCAACUGGCUAGAGAUGAUGAGGGAACUGCAAAUGAGGGUGGUUCUAAGAUCUGUGAAGCUUAUCUCAUAUUCCAGGACUUUUUUGCGGAUGCUGAAACUGUAUUCGCGGCUCAACACCUGCAUCCCAUGGAUUUGCCUUCUCUGAACUUGUAUUCAAUGCACCAGACAGAAAUAAACUGAGCACCGUUUCACCUUCAGAGUAGGCACGGCUAAAUUUGAUGGGCUUUUUUCUUUGCUUCUCUAAUGUUAGUGAUUAGUGGAGCAUAGAUGAAGUGAAUAUAGUGUUGUUCUUGAUUGGUUUUCUCAUAAAUGUGGAGCAUGUGCAAUUUUAUGGCACUGAUUUGGUUUAUGGCACCGUCGGGGAAUGAACUGAGCACGGUUUGUGAUUCAGACAGGCCCCUUUCAUUUAUUUGUGGCUACUAAAUUCGAUUUUUUUU
Long non-coding RNA from Lolium rigidum, 618 nucleotides. RefSeq lists it as uncharacterized. The transcript has 3 exons. The record is from RefSeq and is a predicted model, not a curated record. Lineage: Eukaryota; Viridiplantae; Streptophyta; Magnoliopsida; Poales; Poaceae.